AUAGAGAUGGAGGUCGGGAUUCCCUUUCUCAAGGCUGCACCGCGGCAAUUCAAUGAGCGAGACCUGCACUCAAUAGUAGAACAAUGAAAGCAGUAGUGGCACUCCCCAUACUUAGAGGGUCCGGGCCAGGCACUCCAUAUGUGUGUCGGUAUUGAUCUGAGCACUCGUGUAACUACUAAUAAAGCUCGAGGGUUUACAGGGUGAGCGUUAGCGAACUUGUGGGAGUAGAUCAGGUCUUUCUGAGUUAUUGGCUACCGGUGUUACUUCUCUUGGUCAGGUCUAAAGGUCUAAGGGGAAGACCUUUUCUUACUCUUCAACUCCCGGUAAUUUCUUCCUUUUUCUAUCGAAAGAGAGUGAGUGCAAACCUUAAGGGGUCGUGAGCGAGAAAUGAAUCAGGCAUCGGUCGUUCCAGCGGUAAGAGUCCUUCGGAUGUUGAAUGGUCUGGUCAACUCGUUCCGUUCCUGUGUAGAAAGGAAGUAACCCGUGGGUAUCUUCUAUUGAUUAACGAACUGGGAAUCAGAGCUCGCUCUUCCUUUGCUUUGGAUCUUCGGUAACUGGAGCAUCCAUAAUAAAGCGAGGUCUCUCCUGCAGCUUUGCCUUUUUUUCCA
Molecule: unclassified non-coding RNA, 608 nt
Filed under: Hevea brasiliensis (rubber tree)
Lineage: Eukaryota; Viridiplantae; Streptophyta; Magnoliopsida; Malpighiales; Euphorbiaceae
Source: RNAcentral